GAAGUCAAUGUCAGAAACUAUUCGUUGAGUGCUAUAACAGUGCGUGCUAAGCGUAGGCAGGGAAAUAAUAGGCCGUAAGCCAAAGAGCUGAAGUGAUUGAGCCUCGUAAACAUAAUACUGAGAUAGCCGAUGAUUUGGAAUGUAUCAGAAGGCAAUAUCGAAUAGGACGUUAAGAGAAGAAAUAUUCGACAUCUCCGGGGUCUUAGAGCA
This 210-nucleotide non-coding RNA is filed under the name Piscirickettsia salmonis. Lineage: Bacteria; Pseudomonadati; Pseudomonadota; Gammaproteobacteria; Thiotrichales; Piscirickettsiaceae. The record is from RNAcentral.